RNAcentral lists this non-coding RNA (105 nucleotides) under Psychrobacillus sp. FJAT-21963. RNAcentral describes it as "TPP riboswitch aptamer (THI element)". It matches the Rfam family "TPP riboswitch aptamer (THI element)". Rfam says of the family: Vitamin B(1) in its active form thiamin pyrophosphate (TPP) is an essential coenzyme that is synthesised by coupling of pyrimidine and thiazole moieties in bacteria. The previously detected thiamin-regulatory element, thi box was extended, resulting in a new, highly conserved RNA secondary structure, the THI element, which is widely distributed in eubacteria and also occurs in some archaea. The record is from Rfam by way of RNAcentral. Lineage: Bacteria; Bacillati; Bacillota; Bacilli; Caryophanales; Bacillaceae. RNAcentral also lists the same sequence under 1 other name.
AAUGACUGCUAGGGGAGCCUUUGUUAGGCUGAGACACAUCAUUGAUGUAAACCCUUUGAACCUGAUCUAGUUAAUACUAGCGGAGGGAAGCAGCUGGGACCCCUA